This 433-nucleotide ribosomal RNA is filed under the name uncultured bacterium. RNAcentral's name for it is "partial 16S ribosomal RNA". It matches the Rfam family "Bacterial small subunit ribosomal RNA", at positions 29 to 507 of the family's 1533-position model. The record is from RNAcentral.
AACGAACGCUGGCGGCAUGCCUAACACAUGCAAGUCGAACGAGACCUUCGGGUCUAGUGGCGCACGGGUGCGUAACGCGUGGGAACCUGCCCUUAGGUUCGGAAUAACUCCCCGAAAGGGGUGCUAAUACCGGAUAAUGUCUUCGGACCAAAGAUUUAUCGCCUUUGGAUGGGCCCGCGUUGGCUUAGCUAGUUGGUAGGGUAAAAGCCUACCAAGGCGACGAUCCAUAGCUGGUCUGAGAGGAUGAGCAGCCACACUGGGACUGAGACACGGCCCAGACUCCUACGGGAGGCGGCAGUGGGGAAUAUUGGAAAAUGGGCGAAGGCCUGAUCCAGCAAUGCCGGGUGAGUGAUGAAGGCCUUAGGGUUGUAAAGCUCUUUUAUCCGGGAUGAUAAUGACAGUACCGGGAGAAUAAGCGCCGGCUAACUCCGUG